UAUAAAAACCAUGUCAGUUCAGGUCAUGCACCUAGAGUGUUUGGUAAAAUGCAAGGAGCCUCUAGGUAUUCUUGUUAGCCACCAAAAUUUCCAGGUUGAGGUCUUCUUGGAAGCUAACAAAUAUGGUAUGGUCAAUCUUGGCAAAACAGAAACUUCCUACUGCAAUUUUGGCAAAAGAGCAUUCCUGGGAGAAACAAAAUGAUGCUAUAACAUGCUCUCAAACAAUGCCACUUGGGCUGAAACUCUGGACUUAAGGGUUUUGUAGGGUCCACUAAAAGUAGUAAGAUUUUCAUGAGCUUUGGGUAAGAAAAUAAUAUGGUUGUAGUGCAAACUGCAAAUCUGGUCCAGAAUAGAAAAUAAG
RNAcentral lists this long non-coding RNA (361 nucleotides) under Hordeum vulgare. RNAcentral describes it as "long non-coding RNA (HVUL_LNC018938)". Lineage: Eukaryota; Viridiplantae; Streptophyta; Magnoliopsida; Poales; Poaceae. The record is from RNAcentral.